This 336-nucleotide unclassified non-coding RNA is filed under the name soil metagenome. Its description in RNAcentral is "partial contains 5.8S ribosomal RNA, internal transcribed spacer 2, and large subunit ribosomal RNA". The stretch from base 2 to 120 matches the Rfam family "5.8S ribosomal RNA", at positions 36 to 154 of the family's 154-position model. The record is from RNAcentral.
AAUGAAGAACGUAGCGAAAUGCGAUAAGUAAUGUGAAUUGCAGAAUUCAGUGAAUCAUCGAAUCUUUGAACGCACAUUGCGCCCGCCAGUAUUCUGGCGGGCAUGCCUGUUCGAGCGUCAUUUCAACCAUCAAGCCCCAGGCUUGUGUUGGGGACCUGCGGCUGCCGCAGGCCCUGAAAACCAGUGGCGGGCUCGCUGUCACACCGGGCGUAGUAGAUUUUAUCUCGCUCAGGGCGUGCUGCGGGUUCCGGCCGUUAAAGAGCCUUUUUUACCCAAGGUUGACCUCGGAUCAGGUAGGAAUACCCGCUGAACUUAAGCAUAUCAAUAAGCGGAGGA